CUCUCUGAAAUCAAUACAAAAUAUAUUAAAAAUAAAGAAAAGGCAGAGAAGCAAAGCAAGGAAAUAUGGGUGGGCUACAGCUUACAGCCUAGUUGGCUGGCUGUGCUUGCUUAUCCUUGGUGUUUGGUUUUGUAACCUUGAGGCAUCCGCAGGCUGAGGUUUGGGUUUGCUUUUGUAGCCUGUACAGUCCGCCAUGCCUUGGAGCCCCCUCUGUCUAGUAGCCUCCUUGUUUCAUGAACAGUUCCAGGUUUAAAGUCCUCCACUGUGGCCACAAUUAUCUUUGGUAAGAUUCACCUAGCUGUUCAGCUUUAAGACAAAAUGUUAUUCACCCGAAGCCUGGCACUGACCCCAGUCUGGUUUCCAAGUCGGCCCCUGUCCGCCCGCGGACCCAGCCCGACUCUGGCUGACUUCCGGACCCAGACCGGAAACAGAAAUGCCCAGGUGAAGUCUGAGCCUGUAAGGCUGAGACUGCGGAGCGGGGAGCCCCCAGACCUGCCGCCGCCGCCACCUCCAGAGGCCGCGCGGGAGAGCAGGUACCGCGCCUGGUUGCGCCUUGCUCCCGGGAAGUCAGCAGCCUCCUUCGCGUUCCUCUCCUAGCACCAUAACUGUCAAGGGACAAACUGAGGCCUAUUAAACAUUUUCAGAGCUUAUUUGAGGCCGUGUUCCCCUGACCUGACUGGCGCUGGAAAGAGGCUUUUAUUGGAGGCUGAAGCAAAGUAAGGAAAUGAUUGGCCACAGUUUGAAGCCUGGUUGGCUGCUUAUGAUUGGUUCUCCUUAGAGUUUUGAUUUCAUAACCUUGAGGCAUUUAUAGGCUUAGGUUUGGGGUCCCCCCCCUCCUAAUGGCCUUCUUGUUUAAUUAAGUUCUUAAUCAUUAGGGAGGCACGUUGGAUCACGAAGUAGACUUCUUUGACUUAAAAAAACAAAACUAAUUCUUAUGUAUUGCUACCUUCUUUUGAACUAACAGAGCUUCCUCUCUGAUAUCCGUGCAGAAGUAGAUGGACGUGGCCCACUCUCAGGUCUGGUUCCUUUUAGGCAAAUCUGGGUGGAAGGGCCCAGGUUGGCCCUGGGGAGAUUGACCUGUGAACAUGAAAAGGAGAGUUUAGGAGAGGAUCUUGUUGCCUUUUUUUUGGUCAUUUUAAUAUUUGCUAUAAAUAUUUGCAACAAGGGAAAUUAUAAUGAGUUGCAGUUUUACUCCUUUUUGACAAGGUGCCUUGAAAUGCACGUGCUUUAUCGUCAAAUGUGUGAUCUGAUGCCAUCCAACAGAACAUUUGCUAGUCCCCAAGCUACUGUGUGUGUCUGAUGACCCUGCCUUAGACUCUACCUUCUAUGCCAGUGGUCUCCAGACUCCUUGAUGGCAUAUUUCCCAAUAAAAGUUUUUUUAGAAAA
This is a long non-coding RNA of Myotis brandtii (Brandt's bat), 1386 nucleotides long. RefSeq lists it as uncharacterized. The transcript has 2 exons. Lineage: Eukaryota; Metazoa; Chordata; Mammalia; Chiroptera; Vespertilionidae. The record is from RefSeq and is a predicted model, not a curated record.